This 260-nucleotide long non-coding RNA is filed under the name Lathyrus oleraceus (garden pea). Its description in RNAcentral is "Pisum sativum (pea) long non-coding RNA (PSAT_LNC038351)". Lineage: Eukaryota; Viridiplantae; Streptophyta; Magnoliopsida; Fabales; Fabaceae. The record is from RNAcentral.
UUACCCUUAAAAAAUUAAUACUACUGUAUGCACAUCGGAAAGGCAUAUUUUUUUUUUGAAUAAAAUGUUGUGACGUGGUAAUCACGUCGCAAUUUUAGAAGUAAAAUAAAAAAGUAAAAGAAGUCAGACGUGUACAGGUCACAAUAUAAAUACUUGUCGAUCUUAUUUUUUCCGUGUUAAUUUUUAAGUGUGUUGUAAAUACCUUUUAUUUAUUUAUUUUAUUCGGCUUAUUUUUGGGGUCUUUUUACAUCGAGUUUUUU